Molecule: ribosomal RNA, 3589 nt
Filed under: Candidatus Saccharimonadota bacterium
Lineage: Bacteria; Candidatus Saccharimonadota
Description: 23S ribosomal RNA
Rfam family: Bacterial large subunit ribosomal RNA
Source: RNAcentral
CAAAAAGUUACACAAGCGCACAUAAAGAAUGCCUUGACGCAAAAUACCGAAGAAGGACGUAGCAGGCUGCGAUAAGCUGCGGGGAGCUGCCAAACAAGCUUUGAACCGUAGAUUUCCGAAUGGGGAAACCCAGCUAGAGUCAUGUCUAGUUACCACUGUAUGAACUUUUGAUAGUACAGUAGGCGGUAAGUUCCCGAACUGAAACAUCUUAGUAGGGAGAGGAAUAGAAAGUAACCAACGAUUCUCGGAGUAGUGGCGAGCGAAACGGGAAUAGCCCAAACUUUUUAAGUUUUUGCCUGUUAAUUCAGGCGAAUAAGUUGACAGACGAAUGCUUAAAAGGGGUUGUGAGAUAUAAAUACCCAUGUCUGGGUGCUCGAUUUAGAGCGACCAGAUAUGGAGACAAGAGCUGUUAAUCUUGUAUAAAGUUACAAAUUGCAAUGCGAGUAGAAUCAGCUGGAAAGCUGAGCCAUAGACAGUGAUAGCCUGGUAUACAAAGUUAUUGCAACUUUAUCAUUUAUAUCUCGAGUAAGGCGGGGCACGAGAAACCCUGUUUGAAUCUGGGACGACCACGUUCCAAGGCUAAAUAUAUUUUGCGAUCGAUAGCGUACAAGUACCGUGAGGGAAAGGUGAAAAGAACCCCGGAAGGGGAGUGAAAUAGAGUCUGAAAUUGUGUGCGUACAAGGAGUCGGAGCCUUCGGGUGACGGCGUGCUUUUUGUAGAACGAUCCAGCGAGUUACUGUAUCUUGGCAAGCUUAAUCCAUUUUGGAGUAGGCAUAGUGAAAGCGAGCCUUAAGUGGGCGUUUAGUCGGAUGCAGUAGACCCGAAACCGGGUGACCUAGCCAUGAGCAGGUUGAAGCGCAGGUAAGACUGCGUGGAGGACCGAACCAUUGUAUGUUGCAAUAUACUUGGAUGACUUGUGGUUAGCGGAGAAAUUCCAAUCGAACUCGGAGAUAGCUGGUUCUCCUCGAAAUAGCUUUAGGGCUAGCGUCGUGUAGUAGCAUAUAGGGGUAGAGCUCUGUUUCGGACUGGGGCCUUCAUCGGUACCCACCCUUGAUAAACUACGAAUACUAUAUGUGUAAUCACGGCAGUCAGAACAUCGGUGCUAAGGUCGAUGCUCAAAAGGGAAACAGCCCAGACCUUCGUCUAAGGUCCCUAAAUAAACACUCAGUGGGAAACGAGGUGAGAUUUCAUAAACAGCGAGGAUGUUGGCUUAGAAGCAGCCAUUCAUUUAAAGAGUGCGUAACAGCUCACUCGUCAAGAGAUCUUGCGCGGAAAAUUUAACGGGGCUUAAGUGUUUUACCGAAGACAAGGAUUAAUAUUUUAAUAUUAGUGGUAGAGGAGCGUUCCUAUCUGCGUUGAAGGUGUGUCGUGAGGCAUGCUGGAGCGUUAGGAAGUGAGAAUGCUGGAAUGAGUAACUUUAAGAUAUGUGAGAAUCAUAUCCGCCGAAAGAGCGAGGUUUCCUGGGCAACGAUAAUCGUCCCAGGGUUAGUCGGUCCUAAGUCGAGGCGAGUAGCGUAGACGAUGGACAUCAGGUUAAUAUUCCUGAACUAGUAGUGGUGUUGUGAGUAAGUGCGCGGCAUGGUAGCGAGAGCAGAUUAAUGGUAUAUCUGUCUAAGUGCGUAGUCCUUCGGGGUGAAACACGAAUGCAACUGUCCUUUUAGGACGGGAGUCCCGUGAGCCAAGCUGACUAGAAAAGCAUAUUCACUUAUAACCACUUCUAUCCGUACCGCAAACCGACACAGGUGCUCAGGUCGAGUAGACCAAGGCGUACGAGAGAACCUUUGCUAAGGAACUCGGCAAUACAGCGACCGUAACUUCGGGAUAAGGUCUGCCCUGUGGGGUGCGCUAAGCGCAAGUAUUGCACAACGAGUACCUCACAUCUGUUCACUAGCCUAGAUCACAUCUGAAAGGCUGCAAAAAUAUUUUUCUUUUUCAAUAUAACUACAGUUAUGUUUCAAAAGCAGAAAUAUCUUUUCGCACAUUCAUAUGCAAUCUAGGGUUAGCAACCAGAUGCGAGGUACUCGUUAGAGUAAAUAGCAGUAACAAUUUGUGAAUGUCUUCGUAAGAAGACUACAAUCGAGAAAUCAACUAUCUAGUAAUAGAUAGCUUGAGACAGAAAUAACAUAUUCUAUGAACCAACAGGUUUUAUGGAUAGUUGCUAUUUGCGUAUGCAAAUAUUACUUGAGUUUAGCGUGCCCCGUGGGGCCGCAGCUAAAGAGCCCAUGCAACUGUUUACUAAAAACAUAGGUCUCUGCAAACACGAAAGUGGAAGUAUAGGGGCUGACGCCUGCCCGGUGCUGGAAGGUUAAGGGGAGAACUUUACGGUUUGAACUGAAGCCCCAGUGAACGGCGGCCGUAACUAUAACGGUCCUAAGGUAGCGAAAUUCCUUGUCGGGUAAGUUCCGACCUGCACGAAUGGCGUAAUGAUGUGGGCACUGUCUCAGCAAAGGACUCGGUGAAAGUGCAUUGGCGGUAAAGAUGCCGUCUGUCCGCACCAGGACGAAAAGACCCCGUGGAGCUUUACUACAGCUUGGCAUUGAGCCGAGCGUAUACAUGUGUAGCAUAGGUGGGAGACUUUGAAGCAGAUGCGCUAGCGUUUGUGGAGUCAUCAGUGAAAUACCACCCUUGUGUACGCUUUGUUCUUGACCUGGCCCUCAAAGUGUAGAAAAUACUUUGAAAGCCAAGUUUUAAGACCAAGGUAGCCUAAACAAUUAGGCAGUAUUGUGAAACAGCUAUAACAUCCAUGUCCUAAUCACAUCGAUGACAUCGAGAGUGGUGGUUAUAGCAAAAAUACUUUUUAAGUAUUUGUUAGUAACUUUUGGUUUAAUUACCAAUUUUGCCUAUUUGUUGGGCUACCCUAACUUAAGACACUUUCAAGAUUCUGAUUUUCUAUAAUUUCAGGGUCAGGGACAGUGCCUGGUGGGUAGUUUAACUGGGGCGGUUGCCUCCUAAAGAGUAGCGGAGGCGUUCAAAGGUUGACUAGCUUCGGAUGGAAAUCGAAGUGAUAGUGUAUACGCAUAAGUCAGCUUGACUGUGAGGCCUACAAGCCAAUCAGGGACGAAAGUCGGAGUAAAUGAUCCGCUGUAAGUACAUUUGUACAUGAAUGUGGAAUCGACAGCGCAAACGGAUAAAAGUUACCCCGGGGAUAACAGGCUUAUCGCGCCCAAUAGUUCACAUAGACGGCGCGGUUUGGCACCUCGAUGUCGGCUCAUCACAUCCUGGGGCUGGAGCAGGUCCCAAGGGUUCGGCUGUUCGCCGAUUAAAGUGGUACGUGAGCUGGGUUUAGAACGUCGUGAGACAGUUCGGAUUAUAUCCGGUGUGGACACACAAGAAACGUGAGAGAAUUCGUCAGUAGUACGAGAGGACCCUGAUGAACGCACCUCUGGUGUAUGGGUUGUGAUACCAAUUGCAUUGCCCAGUAGCUAUGUGCGGAUCGGAUAAGCGCUGAAAGCAUAUUAAGCGCGAAGCCGGCCUCAAGAUUGCGUUUCUCUAUGAGCGCCCUGAAAGACGAUCAGGUUGAUAGGUGCAAGGUGUAAGUACAGUAAUGUAUUCAGCCGAAGCAUACUAAUAGCGCCACUGACUUUUUGUG